CUUUACUGUAGCUUUGCAUUGGACUUUGAAUCGGUCUGUGUAGGAUAGGUGGGAGGCUGUGAAACCGGGACGCUAGUUUCGGUGGAGCCAACCUUGAAAUACCACCCUGAUUUAUUUGAGGUUCUAACCUUGAUCCGUGAAUCCGGAUCGGGGACCGUGCAUGGUGGGCAGCUUGACCGGGGCGGUCUCCUCCCAAAAGGUAACGGAGGAGUACGAAGGUACGCUUAGGGCGGUCGGACAUCGCCCAUAAAGUGCAAUAGCAAAAGCGUGCUUGACUGCGAGACCCACAAGUCGAGCAGGUGCGAAAGCAGGUCAUAGUGAUCCGGUGGUUCUGUAUGGAAGGGCCAUCGCUCAACGGAUAAAAGGUA
Molecule: ribosomal RNA, 368 nt
Filed under: uncultured organism
Description: bacterial LSU rRNA
Rfam family: Bacterial large subunit ribosomal RNA
Source: RNAcentral